AACGCACAUUGCGCCCGCCAGUAUUCUGGCGGGCAUGCCUGUUCGAGCGUCAUUUCAACCAUCAAGCCCCCGGCUUGUGUUGGGGACCUGCGGCUGCCCGCAGGCCCUGAAAUCCAGUGGCGGGCUCGCUGUCGCACCGAGCGUAGUAGCAUACUUCUCGCUCCGGGAGCGCGGCGGGCGCCUGCCGUAAAACCCCCUACAUACCAAAGGUUGACCUCGGAUCAGGUAGGAAUACCCGCUGAACUUAA
This 248-nucleotide unclassified non-coding RNA is filed under the name uncultured Cladorrhinum. Its description in RNAcentral is "sequence contains ITS2". The stretch from base 1 to 52 matches the Rfam family "5.8S ribosomal RNA", at positions 103 to 154 of the family's 154-position model. The record is from RNAcentral. Lineage: Eukaryota; Fungi; Ascomycota; Sordariomycetes; Sordariales; Lasiosphaeriaceae.